This 945-nucleotide long non-coding RNA is filed under the name Monodelphis domestica (gray short-tailed opossum). RNAcentral describes it as "lncRNA (ENSMODG00000030022.2)". Lineage: Eukaryota; Metazoa; Chordata; Mammalia; Didelphimorphia; Didelphidae. The record is from RNAcentral.
CAAAAAUAAAUGUUAUAAUUACAGUAGAAGUCUGAACCUCUUUUGCACAAGAGGAAAAUGGGACUUGGUGCUUGCUAAAACAUGAAUACUCAUAAAGAUUUUUUCUCCUUUCUUCCCUCCCUCCUUCCCUCUUCCCUUUCUUUUUUCAUAGAAUUUCAAGAGUUAGAAGGCACCUUUUUAAUAGAUGCUAAUACUAGGAGAUUUAUGGUAAUAGGACAGGGACAGCAGGAAACCAGCUAGGGACAAGGCUGGAUCUUAUACUCCACCCCCCACCCCCACUACUUCCUGUCUCUUUCUUAACUGAAUCUAAAGGCUCUUCUCAAAAAUGAUCUCAAGGGCUUCUGGUAUGACGUAUUUGUGACCAAGAGGACCAGCUGCUCCAUCCCACUUAGGAGUCUGAACAAGAGUCUGGCACAACUCCAAGGCAAGACCUGAGAUGAGGAUGCUGGGAACCUUCUCAAAGGGACAAAGCACCAAGGCUAAAGCCUCCUAUAGGCUCCAGGUGGCUCACAGACAGCUGGCUGAAAUAGAUGAGCAUUUUGGCUGCAGUGCAGAAAUCCAGAGCUGCUGGAUGCUCUCCAUUUUUCAAAUAGGGAUUUGUAUCACUUUCAAUACAUUAAUGCUCAAGGCAUUCAAUGGUACAGUCACAUGGGACUACCCAUCAUUUCUUAGAAAUGUCUCAUUUCUUUCUUCUCUAUGGGGCUUCAGAGCAAGUAUACUUCUUCUCACUUGAUUUCUCACAACAAUCUUAUGAGGAGAAGAGAGGUGGAAGGGUAAGGGGAGAUCGAGUAAAAAAAAAAGAAAGAAAGAAAAGAAAUUGGAUGAAUGAAACAUCUUUCUCUUUUUACCAGAAAACAGAAGCAAGGCCAAAAAGAAGCACACAAAAGUAGCAUGGCUCUGAAAACUAUAGGUUGAACUUAAUAUUUACUUUAAAAUAAAUGCAAA